UUUCAUGGUUGUUAUGUUUAUAUCCAAGUAACAUUGAAUGAAAUUAUCGAACAGUUGACAUGUCGGGUGCAUCAUUGUUAACGCGGUCACGUUAAGCUGUUUUGGUUAUCAUAACGAACAUCGUUAAAAAAAUUGGUCUGAUAAAAGACAGUCGACUUACAUGUUGUUGGCGAAACGGGCACCUGCCGGUUUCUGAGAUCAAGCGAAGUCUAGUCUUAGAAACCAGUCCAGACACGAGGAUGUAAGCGUGGAAAUCACCGGCAAAAACAAUAUGUCUCGCAAAACACAGAACCGUUAUGAUGAUGACUUUGAAUUUGAUGAAGUUGAGGACACAGAAACGCUGAUAUCGAGAAACAAGCCUCCACGGUACAAGUCAGCUCCUGCAAAGAAA
Haliotis rubra (blacklip abalone) is the source of this 391-nucleotide long non-coding RNA. RefSeq lists it as uncharacterized. The transcript is spliced from 4 exons. The record is from RefSeq and is a predicted model, not a curated record. Lineage: Eukaryota; Metazoa; Mollusca; Gastropoda; Lepetellida; Haliotidae.